GAUGAACGCUGGCGGCGUGCCUAAUACAUGCCAGUCGAGCGAACAGACUAGUAGCUUGCUCCUCUGACGUUAGCGGCGGACGGGUGAGUAACACGUGGCUAACCUUCCUAUAUGACUUGGAUAACUUCGGGAAACCGGAGCUAAUACCGGAUAAUAUAUUGAACCGCAUGGUUCAAUAGUGAAAGACGGUUUUGCUUUCACUUAUAGAUGGAUCCCCGCCUCAUUAGCUAGUUGGUAAGGUAACGGCUUACCAAGGCAACGAUGCGUAGCCGACCUGAGAGGGUGAUAGGCCACACUGGAACUGAGACACGGUCCAGACUCCUACGGGAGACAGCAGUAGGGAAUCUGCCGCAAUGGGCGAAAGCAUGACGGAGCAACGCCGCGUGAGUGAUGAAGGUCUUCGGAUCGUAAAACUCUGUUAUUAGGGAAGAACAAAUGUGUAAGUAAAUAUGCACGUCUUGACGGUACCUAAUCAGAAAGCCACGGCUAACUACGUG
This 497-nucleotide ribosomal RNA is filed under the name uncultured bacterium. Its description in RNAcentral is "partial 16S ribosomal RNA". It matches the Rfam family "Bacterial small subunit ribosomal RNA", at positions 28 to 507 of the family's 1533-position model. The record is from RNAcentral.